RNAcentral lists this unclassified non-coding RNA (695 nucleotides) under Bartonella sp. RNAcentral describes it as "partial 16S-23S ribosomal RNA intergenic spacer". The stretch from base 127 to 200 matches the Rfam family "tRNA". The record is from RNAcentral. Lineage: Bacteria; Pseudomonadati; Pseudomonadota; Alphaproteobacteria; Hyphomicrobiales; Bartonellaceae.
AAGAAGGUGUUUAAGAAACAGGUAAAAGGGGUUUAAGAAACAUAUCUGUUUCUUAAACAUAUCUUUUUGUUUUCUUUUGUUUUCUUUUAUCUGUCCCGAGGAAGGUUUUUACCGAUUUACUCCUGAGGGCUUGUAGCUCAGUUGGUUAGAGCGCGCGCUUGAUAAGCGUGAGGUCGGAGGUUCAAGUCCUCCCAGGCCCACCAAUUUAUGAUUGCUGAUAAAUUUGCUGAUAAGUUUUUUGUGAAUGUUUUGAUGGUCUUUUAUCUUACGAUCUUUCACUUUUAUGUUGCAAUCUUUCAAAAGUAUUUGAACUGUUUUAGGGGCCGUAGCUCAGCUGGGAGAGCACCUGCUUUGCAAGCAGGGGGUCGUCGGUUCGAUCCCGUCCGGCUCCACCAUCUUUGGUUAUCAUCAUCGUUAAAGAACAAUGUUUUGCAAUAGAUCUGUAGAUCUUAAGUCUAUCAUCUAUUGCCUGUUCUAUUGAAAUUGUGAAGAGAAGAUAUAUUCAGACAUUACUGUUUUAUUCAGCUAUUGUUGUUUUGUUGUUGCUUUUAAUGUUUAAGUCUCUCCUUUAAGGAAUGACAAAAAGCUUAAAAACACAACGCUAAUUUAAAACACAACGCUAACAUUGUUAAACAAUGUUUAAAGCAAUAUAAUGUGUCGCUAGGGUAUGCUCAAAGCCUUAGCUUUAUGAUUGG